RNAcentral lists this long non-coding RNA (358 nucleotides) under Nicotiana benthamiana. RNAcentral describes it as "long non-coding RNA (NBEN_LNC037164)". The record is from RNAcentral. Lineage: Eukaryota; Viridiplantae; Streptophyta; Magnoliopsida; Solanales; Solanaceae.
CUUAUACUAAAACAAGAACAAAGUACAGAGGGUCACCACUCAUAUCAUUUUAUUGUCUUCCACCAAACAAACUCAGGGUUCAGGCAACUUACAGUUAUUGCAGCACAUUAGUAUAGCAAAAAAAUGCUUUAAAGCUUAAUGCUAGAAUAUUAAGUAUCACUUAACGGAGUCUGACGAUAUGCCACAGUGAAAGUAGCACCAUAAAAGCUGAGCAGUAUGUCUUUUACAGAAAGAAUUGGUACACAAGAAAAAUCCUUGAUGAUGAUUUAUUGGUCCAUGUCCAUUUUCAUUAUCCUGAGACAAGCGUGAUACAUACACACUUACAAUCCAUCAAGCAGCAACCUGAACAAAUAGACAC